CGCUGGCGGCGUGCUUAAUACAUGCAAGUCGUGCGAGAAAGUACCCUUCGGGGUGCGAGUACAGCGGCAAACGGGUGAGUAACACGUAAGGAAUCUGCCUCCAAAUCCGGAAUAGCUCUGCCAACGCGGAAUUAAUGCCGGAUGUGGUUGCAUGGUCGCAUGGCUAUGCAACUAAAGGUGACCUCUUCGUUUGAAAGUUACCGUUUGGAGAUGACCUUGCGGCCCAUUAGCUUGUUGGCGGGGUAACGGCCCACCAAGGCUGCGAUGGGUAGCCGGCCUGAGAGGGUGAUCGGCCACAUUGGGACUGAGAUACGGCCCAGACUCCUACGGGAGGCAGCAGUAGGGAAUUUUGCGCAAUGGACGAAAGUCUGACGCAGCAACGCCGCGUGAGCGAUGAAGGUCUUCGGAUCGUAAAGCUCUGUUGAGUGGGAAGAAACGUCUCGGGGUUAAUAUCUCCGAGGCCUGACGGUACCACUCGAGGAAGCUCCGGCCAACUACGUGCCAGCAGCCGCGGUAAUACGUAGGGAGCGAGCGUUGUUCGGAAUCACUGGGCGUAAAGGGAGUGCAGGCGGAAAGGUAAGUCAGAAGUGUAAUCUACGGGCUUAACCCGUAUCUCGCUUUUGAUACUGCUUUUCUUGAGUAGUGGAGAGGGAAACGGAAUUCCAGGUGUAGCGGUGGAAUGCGUAGAUAUCUGGAAGAACACCAGUAGCGAAGGCGGUUUCCUGGCCACAUACUGACGCUGAGGCUCGAAAGCGUGGGGAGCAAACAGGAUUAGAUACCCUGGUAGUCCACGCCGUANACGAUGGGCACUAG
This 813-nucleotide ribosomal RNA is filed under the name uncultured organism. RNAcentral describes it as "bacterial SSU rRNA". It matches the Rfam family "Bacterial small subunit ribosomal RNA", at positions 34 to 819 of the family's 1533-position model. The record is from RNAcentral.